CAGAACCCUUUGUGACUUAUACCUUACUGUUGCCUCGGCGCUAGCUGGUCCCUCGGGGCCCCUCACCCUCGGGUGUUGAGACAGCCCGUCGGCGGCCAACCUAACUCUUGUUUUUACACUGAAACUCUGAGCACAAAACAUAAAUGAAUCAAAACUUUCAACAACGGAUCUCUUGGUUCUGGCAUCGAUGAAGAACGCAGCGAAAUGCGAUAAGUAAUGUGAAUUGCAGAAUUCAGUGAAUCAUCGAAUCUUUGAACGCACAUUGCGCCCUCUGGUAUUCCGGAGGGCAUGCCUGUUCGAGCGUCAUUUCAACCCUCAAGCCUGGCUUGGUGAUGGGGCACUGCUUCUUACCCAAGAAGCAGGCCCUGAAAUUCAGUGGCGAGCUCGCCAGGACCCCGAGCGCAGUAGUUAAACCCUCGCUCUGGAAGGCCCUGGCGGUGCCCUGCCGUUAAACCCCCAACUUCUGAAAAUU
RNAcentral lists this ribosomal RNA (472 nucleotides) under Diaporthe eres. RNAcentral's name for it is "eukaryotic LSU rRNA". The stretch from base 153 to 306 matches the Rfam family "5.8S ribosomal RNA". Lineage: Eukaryota; Fungi; Ascomycota; Sordariomycetes; Diaporthales; Diaporthaceae. The record is from RNAcentral.